Molecule: transfer RNA, 66 nt
Filed under: Cautires tapahensis
Lineage: Eukaryota; Metazoa; Arthropoda; Insecta; Coleoptera; Lycidae
Also listed under: 1 other name
Description: tRNA-Phe
Source: RNAcentral
UAUUUUAAUAGCUUAUUUUAAAAGUAUAAUAUUGAAGAUAUUAAGAAGGCGUUGGCCUUAAAAUAU